AGCAGCCGCGGUAAUUCCAGCUCCAAUAGCGUAUAUUAAAGUUGUUGCAGUUAAAAAGCUCGUAGUUGAAUUUCGGGGUUAGUAGGCUGGUCGUGCCACAGGUAUGCACUGGUCUUACUGAUUCCUCCUUCCUGAUGAACCGUAAUGCCAUUAAUUUGGUGUUGCGGGGAGACUGGACUGUUACUUUGAAAAAUUGAGUGUUUAAAGCAGGCUAACGCUUGAAUACAUUAGCAUGGAAUAAUGAAAUAGGACGUUCGAUCCUAUUUUGUUGGUUUCUAGGAUUGACGUAAUGAUUAAUAGGGAUAGUUGGGGGCAUUAGUAUUCAAUUGUCAGAGGUGAAAUUCUUGGAUUUAUUGAAGACUAACUACUGCGAAAAGCAUUUGCCAAGGAUGUUUUCAUUAAUCAAGAACGAAAGUUAGGGGAUCGAAGACGAUCAGAUACCGUCGUAGU
This 450-nucleotide ribosomal RNA is filed under the name uncultured Glomus. RNAcentral describes it as "SSU rRNA". It matches the Rfam family "Eukaryotic small subunit ribosomal RNA", at positions 569 to 1024 of the family's 1831-position model. Lineage: Eukaryota; Fungi; Glomeromycota; Glomeromycetes; Glomerales; Glomeraceae. The record is from RNAcentral.